This 556-nucleotide ribosomal RNA is filed under the name uncultured fungus. RNAcentral's name for it is "eukaryotic LSU rRNA". The stretch from base 217 to 370 matches the Rfam family "5.8S ribosomal RNA". Lineage: Eukaryota; Fungi. The record is from RNAcentral.
AAGUCGUAACAAGGUUUCCGUAGGUGAACCUGCGGAAGGAUCAUUAUUGAGCCCUGCCCUCACGGGUAGACCUCCAACCCUGUGUAUUUAUACCUUUGUUGCUUCGGCAGGCCGUCUAGGUUUCGGCCUAGCUAUGGGCUUCGGCUCGUAAGUGCCUGCCAGAGGACCUUCAAACUCUGUAAUCAGUGUCGUCUGAGUAAAAAUUUAAUAAGUUAAAACUUUCAACAACGGAUCUCUUGGUUCUGGCAUCGAUGAAGAACGCAGCGAAAUGCGAUAAGUAAUGUGAAUUGCAGAAUUCAGUGAAUCAUCGAAUCUUUGAACGCACAUUGCGCCCUUUGGUAUUCCGAAGGGCAUGCCUGUUCGAGCGUCAUUACAACCCUCAAGCUCUGCUUGGUAUUGGGCCUCGCCAGCAAUGGCGUGCCUUAAGAUCAGUGGCGGUGCCGUCUGGCUCUAAGCGUAGUAAUUUAUCUCGCUAUUGGGUCCGGUGGUUGCUUGCCAAUAACCCCCAACUUCUAAGGUUGACCUCGGAUCAGGUAGGGAUACCCGCUGAACUUAA